RNAcentral lists this ribosomal RNA (253 nucleotides) under uncultured bacterium. RNAcentral's name for it is "partial 16S ribosomal RNA". It matches the Rfam family "Bacterial small subunit ribosomal RNA", at positions 524 to 776 of the family's 1533-position model. The record is from RNAcentral.
UACGGAGGGAGCAAGCGUUACUCGGAAUUAUUGGGCGUAAAGGGCGCGUAGGCGAUUUGAAAAGUCUUGUGUGAAAGCCCCGAGCUUAACUCGGGAAGUGCACAAGAAACUGUUGAAUUUGAGUUCCGGAGAGGAAGGCAGAAUUCCCGGUGUAGCGGUGAAAUGCGUAGAUAUCGGGAGGAAUACCAGUGGCGAAGGCGGUCGACUGGGCCAGUACUGACGCUGAGGCGCGACAGCGUGGGGAGCAAACAGG